RNAcentral lists this ribosomal RNA (204 nucleotides) under uncultured Syntrophaceae bacterium. RNAcentral describes it as "partial 16S ribosomal RNA". It matches the Rfam family "Bacterial small subunit ribosomal RNA", at positions 1179 to 1382 of the family's 1533-position model. Lineage: Bacteria; Pseudomonadati; Thermodesulfobacteriota; Syntrophia; Syntrophales; Syntrophaceae. The record is from RNAcentral.
ACGACGUCAAGUCAUCAUGCCCUUAUGUCCUGGGCUGCACACGUGCUACAAUGGCCGGUACAAAGAGAAGCAACCUCGCGGAGGGUGAGCAAAUCUCAAAAGCCGUUCUCGAGUUCGGAUUGAAGUCUGCAACUCGACUUCAUGAAGUCGGAAUCGCUAGUAAUCGCGGAUCAGCAUGCCGCGGUGAAUACGUUCCCGGGCCUU